AACGCGAAGAACCUUACCAAGGCUUGACAUGAACCGGUAAUACCUGGAAACAGGUGCCCCGCUUGCGGUCGGUUUACAGGUGGUGCAUGGUUGUCGUCAGCUCGUGUCGUGAGAUGUUGGGUUAAGUCCCGCAACGAGCGCAACCCUCGUUCUAUGUUGCCAGCGGUUCGGCCGGGGACUCAUAGGAGACUGCCGGGGUCAACUCGGAGGAAGGUGGGGACGACGUCAAAUCAUCAUGCCCCUUAUGUCUUGGGCUUCACGCAUGCUACAAUGGCCGGUACAAAGGGUUGCGAUACUGUGAGGUGGAGCUAAUCCCAAAAACCCGGUCUCAGUUCGGAUUGGGGUCUGCAACUCGACCCCAUGAAGUCGGAGUCGCUAGUAAUCGCAGAUCAGAAACGC
This 399-nucleotide ribosomal RNA is filed under the name Arthrobacter sp. TU39. RNAcentral describes it as "bacterial SSU rRNA". It matches the Rfam family "Bacterial small subunit ribosomal RNA", at positions 958 to 1357 of the family's 1533-position model. Lineage: Bacteria; Bacillati; Actinomycetota; Actinomycetes; Micrococcales; Micrococcaceae. The record is from RNAcentral.